GACGAACGCUGGCGGCGUGCUUAACACAUGCAAGUCGAACGGAAAGGCCCUGCUUUUUGGGGUGCUCGAGUGGCGAACGGGUGAGUAACACGUGAGUAACCUGCCCUUGACUUUGGGAUAACUUCAGGAAACUGGGGCUAAUACCGGAUAGGAGCUCCUGCUGCAUGGUGGGGGUUGGAAAGUUUCGGCGGUUGGGGAUGGACUCGCGGCUUAUCAGCUUGUUGGUGGGGUAGUGGCUUACCAAGGCUUUGACGGGUAGCCGGCCUGAGAGGGUGACCGGCCAAAUUGGGACUGAGAUACGGCCCAGACUCGUACGGGAGGCAGCGGUGGGGAAUAUUGCACAAUGGGCGGAAGCCUGAUGCAGCAACGCCGCGUGCGGGAUGACGGCCUUCGGGUUGUAAACCGCUUUCGCCUGUGACGAAGCGUGAGUGACGGUAAUGGGUAAAGAAGCACCGGCUAACUACGUG
RNAcentral lists this ribosomal RNA (467 nucleotides) under uncultured bacterium. Its description in RNAcentral is "partial 16S ribosomal RNA". It matches the Rfam family "Bacterial small subunit ribosomal RNA", at positions 28 to 507 of the family's 1533-position model. The record is from RNAcentral.